Long non-coding RNA from Myxocyprinus asiaticus (Chinese sucker), 1256 nucleotides. RefSeq lists it as uncharacterized. The record is from RefSeq and is a predicted model, not a curated record. NCBI's taxonomy places the organism in Eukaryota, Metazoa, Chordata, Actinopteri, Cypriniformes, Catostomidae. The transcript has 3 exons.
UUGAGUGUAUUAAUCAGUGGUGAAAUGUUUUCAAACAUAAGGGAGGAGUUUCACGUGCCAUGAUGUGCAGCUUUGAGGGCCAUGUGUUAGUAUGACAGAAAGAGACAGUUAAGUCAGGAUAAUGUUGGGAUAAUGAUGUAUAUCACUUGGCGGAAGAAUUGCUAUUCUGACAACUAUUGAUAGUAAAGAAGAAAGGUCAUACGCAUUAGGAAUUACAUAAAGGUUUCCACAGGAAUCACACUUUGGAAUAUCUUCAGAGAAUAUCUUAUCUGUGGGUGGAAAACAUGGAAUAUGAACAUGGACACAGCCAGAUAGUCAACAUCCCAUUCAGAACAGAAGUGUUCAGUACUUUUCAUCCAGUCCAUAGAGUACUCCUUCCGACAGAGGAAGCUCACACAGUGAGAUGUGUGAAAUGUGCCAUGGGCUUCAAUCAGGUCCUCUCCCUCCAGACCUGCAACUCUCUCUAAUGUAUCGAUAUUCUAAAAUAAAGACAAAGCAAAGAAGACAUGAAUGAACAAGCAACAUUUUCACAAGUAACCGGGGUAUGGUAUCACAAGCUAUUAUGUUCUUGAGUUCUUACUCAAGUCUGAAUGUAAAGCUCACAUUAGGGGCUAAAUAAUUAAUUUGUAACUAAUUUGUGACUUAAUUUGUUUGCACCAUCUGUUUGCUCUUAACCCAACAGUCAACUAUUUGGUUGUAAGCUCUCUGUAAAGUAAUGUGUAAUUGCUUAAAGAUUGUCUGCAUUAUCAUAUGUUCAAAGAUUUGUUAAGCAAAACAAAAGCUCAUUCAGUUGCGAAGUUAUGGUUAGUAAAGACCCAGAAUACCCAGAAUAUAACAGACAAUGGUCACACGUUAUAUUAGGUGGCCUUAACUACUAUGUACUAACAUUAAAUACAUACAAGUUUAUGUAUUUACUGCAUAACUACAUGUUGUUCUUUAAAAUUCCCACAUUUGCUGCUACUGAGGUUGAGGUACAGGAAAGUUUAGGAGUAAGGGUAGGUUUAGGAUUAGAGGUUAGUGUUAGGUUUUGGGGUAAGGGAUGAGUUAGGGGUAAAGUUAACAGUGUAACUACAAAUGUAAUUAAAUGCAAGUACUUAAAAUGUCAUUACAAUGAACAACAUGUAUGUGCAUAAUAGGUACAUUGUAUCAAAUGGUUAAAUACACAGUAGUUAAGGCCACCUAAUAUAAAGUGGGUCCCAGACUAUAACUGUCUGACUUCAUAUCUAAAUUAAUAAUAAUAAAAAAAUUUAAACUGC